This 429-nucleotide ribosomal RNA is filed under the name Acidobacteriota bacterium. RNAcentral describes it as "Acidobacteria bacterium partial 16S ribosomal RNA". It matches the Rfam family "Bacterial small subunit ribosomal RNA", at positions 355 to 776 of the family's 1533-position model. Lineage: Bacteria; Pseudomonadati; Acidobacteriota. The record is from RNAcentral.
UGGGGAAUUUUGGACAAUGGGGGAAACCCUGAUCCAGCCAUCCCGCGUGUGCGAUGAAGGCCUUCGGGUUGUAAAGCACUUUUGGCAGGAAAGAAACGUCAUGGGUUAAUACCCCGUGAAACUGACGGUACCUGCAGAAUAAGCACCGGCUAACUACGUGCCAGCAGCCGCGGUAAUACGUAGGGUGCAAGCGUUAAUCGGAAUUACUGUGCGUAAAGCGUGCGCAGGCGGUUCGGAAAGAAAGAUGUGAAAUCCCAGAGCUCAACUUUGGAACUGCAUUAUUAACUACCGGGCUAGAGUGUGUCAGAGGGAGGUGGAAUUCCGCGUGUAGCAGUAAAAUGCGUAGAUAUGCGGAGGAACACCGAUGGCGAAGGCAGCCUCCUGGGAUAACACGGACGCUCAUGCACGAAAGCGUGGGGAGCAAACAGG